CCCGGCCUCCCACCCCCGCGCGCGCCCCCGAGGCAAACCCUAGCUCGCCGGCGCGGCGGUGCGGUGCCCGUCUUCCGCUCCUCCUCCCGAGCUCCGGCGCCCCCGCCUCGGCUACUCGGUGCGGGCUUCCUCGGCUACGACUCCUUCCGGUCCCACGGCGGUGGCGGUGGUCGUUCCCACUUCGUCUCCGUCUCUCGAACUAUAAGCUCACACUCUUCUGGAGCUGGAAAAUAGCCGGGAAGUCUGUGAGAGACAGGAUCAACCUUUUGCUUGCAGUAUUUUAAGCGCCUUGAUGCUUCCCCCAAUGGUGCAGGGAAAUUAGGAACUCUGAAGGUGAAUCUCUGACUAAAUAGGAUUUAGUCUGACACUACUGCAGGGAGAUAAGAGCAGGACACACAAUGCUUGAGGAUUUCUUUACUCUGACUGAGAUGAAGGAUGGCAUUUCAACUACGGCAAGAAUAGCAGAGCUGGUUUCUGAGAUCCAAAAGCUGAGAGAUGCUGCUGAUUUUAGUACAGCUGAUUUCAUAAGGCAGUGUUCAACAGCUGCAAAAACACUUGGAUCUACCAACAAUGAAGAAUGUCUUCAGCAUUUUGUUCAGCUAAAUGGUAUUGGUUAUCUCAAUCAGUGGCUUCAGGAUGCUCAAAACUGCAGCAAGGAAGUCAGCAGUUCAGCAGAAGGUUUGAUAAAUGAAAUAUUAACUGCAUUGGAGCGGCUACCAGUUGAUGAUAUACAUAAAGCUCCUUGUGGUUUAAUUCCCACUGUUCAUCAGCUACUUUCUCAUGAAAAUACAGAGAUCAGUCAAAAGGCAAGAUUACUUUGCCAGAAAUGGAGCAGUGCACCAAAUUAUGGGGAAAAUGACCGACAAAUAGAUGCAAAAGAAGCGUACCAGGCUGCUGAUCUUAAGCCCCCAGAAGCUAGCCAGGAAAUGGAAAAUAAUAAACACGGCGGAGCAAAUGAAGCUGCAACUCCAGAAGCUAAAUCAAACCAUGAUACAUUAACUUCCUCGGUUGUUCCUUCGCAGGAUCUGUCCCUUAUCAAUAAUAACACAGACAUGACAAAGCAGCCUCCAAUGCCAGCAUCCCCAAAUUCCUCGGAUGGACAUGAGGUUUUAGUGCAGGUGAACUCCUCAGUUUCAUCUCUUGCAUCUCAGGGCGGCCUACCGAAUGCGUCUGUUACCGAGGAGACUUCUUCCUCCAAUGACGUAGGUUUAGUCACCAAUUGCAAGUUGUCAGAUACUCUCAACCUAAAGAGUGACACUGGGCAUGUUACUCAAGUAAUAGGUUCGACCAUAGAUGCCAAGUGUCUUGAGAAUGUCAACUCAGAGAACUCAUUUGACAGUAUCAAAAUUGAUUUGGGGGACCAAAAUGUUUCAAGUAGCUUGGAUAUCAAAAAAGGCAAUUCCUUUGCAGCAGGUCAGUCGUGCUCUGAUAAUAAUGCAAUUGAAGCUUUGAACCAUCUUGCAAAUGCAAGCGGUAGUUUGCAAUAUUCGUCGGAGGACAGCAUGGGCAAAGAAGAAGGGCCUACAUCAUCAUCAGGUACAGAUGAUAAAGACACUGGCAGUGAAUUUUGGUUGACAAGAUCUGCGAAGAGCUUUGGGGAUUCCUCAAAGGCAGCAGAGACAAAGUUGAAUGCAGUAGAGGGAGAGAAGUCACCACCAUCGACAGAGUAUGAUGAUACUGAUGCACUGGAAGUAGCACGUCUCGUUGCAAUUGAGGUGGAGCGGGAAGUAAUUGACUACAGGGGAGACUAUUGCAGUUCUCCUGACAUUAGUUCCGAAAAUGUAGAUAGUCCUCAUGUGGAAGCAAGGCAGCACACUGAACCCCCUGUUCAUGAAUCAAAUGAGAAUAAAUCCUCCACUACGGUGGUGGAUUCAGGAAAUUCCUCGUCUCUUAAGGAGGAUGGUGUGGGCAUCACAGAUGACAGCGGUCCUAUUAAUAGCAGAAAGAACACACAGGGUGUGGAUAUGGUAGACUUUGAUCUUAAUGCAAAUCAGUACCAUGAGGAAACUGAUUAUCAUCCAAAGUCCAGUGCUAAUAAUUCUGUAAAUUUAUCAACUCCUAUAGCUGUGGCUGCUUCUAGAGGCUCACUUGUAUUUCCAGCUCGCCUCCAAUUCGAAGGUGCACUGGGGUGGAAAGGCUCUGCUGCAACCAGUGCUUUUCGGCCAGCUUCUGUUCCGCGUACUCCUGACAGAGAGAAGUCAAUGUCAGCCUCUUCACAGAAAACAAGAAAUGUGAUGUUUGACUUGAAUGUAGAUGAAAGUGAAAAUACUAUUGCUGGUGAGUCACUUUCAACAGCCUUCUGGCUUCGUUCUUCCGACAUAGCUCCCAAGGAUAUCUCUGGAGCUGAUGGUGCUAGUACGGGGCUUGAACUUGACCUUAAUAACCCAUGUGAAGAGGAGGAAGCUGCUACCACCUCACCUGCUGUACCAUCAUUCUGGAGUCAUGAACAAUGUCAUGGCAGAUGGAGCCAGCCCUCUUCCUCUUCAUCUUCAAGGCAACCUACUGCAAAGAACUUUGACUUGAAUGACAAUGUAUCCUUCUUUGAUGCCUCUUCCCGAGGCAAGGGGGAGUCCUAUGUCAAGACUUCCACGAACAAUACAUCAGACCAUUCUGAAGUCAUGAUUAUGGGCAAGAGAGUUGCACUUGGACAGAAGGAGCACCGCAGCCCAAACCAGUAUAACUUUCUGGGGCCAAGUAUGGAAUCUAGUCUCCUUGUGAGGUCAACGCAGUCAUAUGCACACACGCCUCCUGAUUUCAGUGUUUUCGGCUAUCCUUCUCAACCUGCUGCCAUGCCUUUGCCUCCUCCUCUCUAUGCACCUGGAGGUGCUCCUUACAUGGUUGAUGCUAGGGGUGCAGCAGUGGUGCCUCCAUUGCCGGGCCUAGGUGUUGGCAUUUCUCAUCCAUCUUUCACCAGCAGAACAAUUCAACCUGUGCCUAGUGAAUUUGGCUACAUGAAUGCAAGCAUGGAUUUCAACUAUGCUCUCUCAUCUGAAGGCGCACGAAGGGAAGCUGGCGGCUAUUGGCCUGUACCAUUCCAAGGUCAUACCGUCUUUCUUGAUGAACGUAUGAGAAGUACAUCACAAGGUGGCAGCUCUGGUACUGGGUUGGUAUCGAAGCGGAAAGAACCUGACUCAGGUUGGGAUAUCUACCCCCGGCACUGAGCGUCCAAUGUUAGUUGCAGUUGUAUUUCUUCGGUUAAUUCAAUGUUCGAUCUGCCUGGGGCCUUGCACAAUAUGGAAGAAGUUCCGCACAUGGAAAAUGGAAGAUGCGUGAAACUGACUAUGUUUCAGCUAUGAGUGGUUUUCAGACACGCAGGCUUCUGGAUAUCAUUGCUUUGGUACAACAUGUAGAUUUAGUUCCUCUGCCUAUUGCGCAUAGAUCAUGCAUUUAACUUGAAAAGACCAAACUGGUGGCAAAACUUCUAAUUUCCUAUGAAGGAGCCAGCUGCAACUUAUCAGGGAAAGAAUCAACUGAACCCUUGAGAUCAGGUUUGGUAGAUAGUUUGCCUGUUACUCCAAAGUCCUUGGACAUAUUAUCUAAAGAACUCCCUGUUUGUGGAAAGCUUGCUGUAUCUUGUAUCACUAUCUCAAGCAGGCCCUCAGUUUACACAAGUAUGGUCAGUUUGACAGCGCAGUAGAAACAUUCGAGGUUACUGCAGAUAAUGAGAACAUGCUGGACCCGUUUAUAUAUGUCAUCUGAACCCCGGUGUCCUGUGACACUUCGUGCAAUAAAGAUCAAAGACAGAGAAGUCUGGUAAAGAUUGAAUCUGAGCUGAGGUGUCAUCAUCUGAACUGGAUGGAUGCAGCCUCGCCAGAGCAUCUUUGAAGUUGGAACGUAGAAGACCGACCUGAAGCUUAACGAGAACUGUACUUGAUCAGCAUUCAGCAGCAUGAUGAUUUGUUGCAGAAUCCGGUGCGGAGCCGUCCUGAGCAGAGUCUUGUUGCAGGAACUUUACCUGCAAGAAAGAAAUUUGAAGGAUGCAUGCACUCCUGAAAGGAGUUGACAGCUUCACACGGAGGCAAGAAAUUGUCUGGACAUUCAGAUCGGUAACAAUUGUAGCAUUAGCAUUAUAGAGAUGUAGUACACCCAAGGUAUGUAGCCCCCGAAGGAAACAUCGAUCAACGUAACAUUUUGAAGUAUAUAUCUUCUUUUUUUGA
RNA transcript from Triticum dicoccoides, 4157 nucleotides. RefSeq lists it as uncharacterized. The record is from RefSeq and is a predicted model, not a curated record. Lineage: Eukaryota; Viridiplantae; Streptophyta; Magnoliopsida; Poales; Poaceae. The transcript is spliced from 6 exons.